Molecule: ribosomal RNA, 259 nt
Filed under: uncultured prokaryote
Description: partial 16S ribosomal RNA
Rfam family: Bacterial small subunit ribosomal RNA
Source: RNAcentral
UACGUAGGUGGCAAGCGUUAUCCAGAAUUAUUGGGCGUAAAGAGCGCGCAGGUGGUUGAUUAAGUCUGAUGUGAAAGCCCACGGCUUAACCGUGGAGGGUCAUUGGAAACUGGUCGACUUGAGUGCAGAAGAGGGAAGUGGAAUUCCAUGUGUAGCGGUGAAAUGCGUAGAGAUAUGGAGGAACACCAGUGGCGAAGGCGGCUUCCUGGUCUGUAACUGACACUGAGGCGCGAAAGCGUGGGGAGCAAACAGGAUUAGA